This 301-nucleotide ribosomal RNA is filed under the name uncultured bacterium. RNAcentral describes it as "partial 16S ribosomal RNA". It matches the Rfam family "Bacterial small subunit ribosomal RNA", at positions 509 to 807 of the family's 1533-position model. The record is from RNAcentral.
CAGCCGCCGCGGUAAUACGUAGGGUGCGAGCGUUGUCCGGAAUUACUGGGCGUAAAGAGCUCGUAGGCGGUUUGUCGCGUCGUCUGUGAAAUUCUGCAGCUUAACUGUAGGCGUGCAGGCGAUACGGGCAGACUUGAGUACUACAGGGGAGACUGGAAUUCCUGGUGUAGCGGUGAAAUGCGCAGAUAUCAGGAGGAACACCGGUGGCGAAGGCGGGUCUCUGGGUAGUAACUGACGCUGAGGAGCGAAAGCGUGGGUAGCGAACAGGAUUAGAUACCCGUGUAGUCCCUGUCUCUUAUAC